CACGGGGGGAGCAAGCGUUGUUCGGAAUCACUGGGCGUAAAGGGCGUGUAGGCGGUCAAGUAAGUGGGAUGUGAAAUCCCUCGGCUCACCCGAGGACCUGCAUCCCAAACUGCUUGGCUUGAGUAUGGGAGAGGAUGAGGGAAUUCCUGGUGUAGCGGUGAAAUGCGUAGAUAUCAGGAGGAACACCGGUGGCGAAGGCGGAUCUCUGGGCCGAUACUGACGCUGGAGGAGCGAAAGCCGUGGGGAGCGAACAGG
RNAcentral lists this ribosomal RNA (255 nucleotides) under uncultured bacterium. RNAcentral describes it as "partial 16S ribosomal RNA". It matches the Rfam family "Bacterial small subunit ribosomal RNA", at positions 524 to 776 of the family's 1533-position model. The record is from RNAcentral.